AUGGAAUGCUCGAGCAUCGAUAUAGUGACUCCGGUGCUUAAGCAACUGAAGCUUGGUGUACGGGCCAACAUGGAACAUAGCAUGUCCAUCUCAACGCCAAUGGUGGAGAAUAUUCGCUUCCAGCGCUAUUACACAGGGUUCUCUCUUGUAUUUGAUUGCUCGUUACCUGAAGGCAUAAGGCUGGAGACGUUACCCACUAACAACGGGAAAGACAUAUUGUCACAUCUACCUCCCCUUUAUGUCCUGAUUUUGCACAUGUCUGGUCAUAUAGGUGCACAGCUAGACUUUACACAAGAGAUGGAUAAACUUCUAUUUAUUAACUUCUCUGUGUUGGAGCUACAUCUCACCACAUCAAUGGAGCAUGUUUCGGGAGGACUCGUGUCACGCCUCCUUAAGAGGCAUCACGUUCAAACCGCUACAGAAAGGCUUAACGUCAACCUAUAUUAUUACUACGUGGAGAGAAAAGCAUGCAGAAAUUGUCCUUGUAACGAACCUAAGAACCGGAUAAUCCAAAGUGUCUCAAUGCCUCAUCUUAAAGAAGUGGAAAUAUGUGGCUUCAAAGGAGAGCAUUGCCAGCUUGAUUUGUUGACAUUAAUAUGCAGAUCUUAA
Molecule: ribosomal RNA, 609 nt
Filed under: Triticum aestivum (bread wheat)
Lineage: Eukaryota; Viridiplantae; Streptophyta; Magnoliopsida; Poales; Poaceae
Description: partial small subunit ribosomal RNA
Source: RNAcentral